UACGUAGGUGGCAAGCGUUGUCCGGAUUUACUGGGCGUAAAGGGCGUGCAGGCGGUCUGUUAAGUUCAGGGUGAAAGCUCCCGGCUCAACUGGGAGAGGUCCUUGGAUACUGGCAGACUUGAGGGAGGUAGAGGAGAGUGGAAUUCCCGGUGUAGUGGUGAUAUGCGUAGAUAUCGGGAGGAACACCAGUGGCGAAGGCGGGUCUCUGGACAGUUCCUGACGCUGAGGCACGAAGGUCAGGGGAGCAAACGGG
This 253-nucleotide ribosomal RNA is filed under the name uncultured bacterium. RNAcentral's name for it is "partial 16S ribosomal RNA". It matches the Rfam family "Bacterial small subunit ribosomal RNA", at positions 524 to 776 of the family's 1533-position model. The record is from RNAcentral.